GGAUGUGAGGGCGAUCUGGCUGCGACAUCUGUCACCCCAUUGAUCGCCAGGGUUGAUUUGGCUGAUCUGGCUGGCUAGGCGGGUGUCCCCUUCCUCCCUCACCACUCCAUGUGCGUCCCUCCCGAAGCUGCACGCUCGGUCGAAGAGGACGACCAUCCCCGAUAGAGGAGAGGACCGUUCUUCGGUCAGGGGUAUACGAGUAGCUGCGCUCCCCUGCUAGAACCUCCAAACAAGCUCUCAAGGUCCAUUUGAAUACAGCUUCUAAGCUGAAUCACUCUUU
Molecule: small nuclear RNA, 280 nt
Filed under: Neogale vison (American mink)
Lineage: Eukaryota; Metazoa; Chordata; Mammalia; Carnivora; Mustelidae
Description: Neovison vison (American mink) 7SK RNA (ENSNVIG00000015458.1)
Rfam family: 7SK RNA
About the family: 7SK was discovered as an abundant small nuclear RNA in the mid-70s but a possible function has only recently been suggested. Two independent studies have found that 7SK RNA binds the CDK9/cyclin T complex (known as elongation factor P-TEFb).
Source: RNAcentral